RNAcentral lists this long non-coding RNA (297 nucleotides) under Prunus dulcis (almond). Its description in RNAcentral is "sRNA ncRNA". The record is from RNAcentral. Lineage: Eukaryota; Viridiplantae; Streptophyta; Magnoliopsida; Rosales; Rosaceae.
AUACAUACUGCCUAAUUUCAGACCAAAACUAUAAUAUGCAAUGCACUGAUUACCAUUUCUUUUUCUCUUUUUUUCUUCUUCUUUAAACAGGUUAAUAUUGUUGAAGGGUGGCUAGAAUAUAUAAGACCUCAAGCACGAGUGUUCAUAGAAACUAAAAAAAAACCAACACUUGUGAAGCAAAAGGAAGGGCUCCCGACACUUGUACAAAAAGAUUUGACUCCAACUGAAGAACUCACUCUCAAUUGGAUUAUGCAAAAUCCAUUGCAGUUUCCAUUUGAGGAUGACAUGGAAUGUGCU